UCGCAGAACGUGUUUGGACUUUUGGUGUGAUCUUGGUUCUUUUGCUUGAGCGAUGGCUCCAGUAUUGUCACACAACAAUGGAACCGCACCUUCUAUUGAAGGAACCACACCAAGUUCAAUUAAGAACUUUUUCAUCCAUGCAGCUUCCUUAGCAGCUUCACUAGCUGCUAUAUAUUCUGCUUCAGUCACUGAAUCUGCUACUGUAGCUUGUUU
RNAcentral lists this long non-coding RNA (213 nucleotides) under Nicotiana benthamiana. RNAcentral's name for it is "long non-coding RNA (NBEN_LNC027407)". The record is from RNAcentral. Lineage: Eukaryota; Viridiplantae; Streptophyta; Magnoliopsida; Solanales; Solanaceae.